AAACUUUCAACAACGGAUCUCUUGGCUCCGGCAUCGAUGAAGAACGCAGCGAAAUGCGAUAACUAGUGUGAAUUGCAGAAUUCAGGGAAUCAUCGAGUCUUUGAACGCACAUUGCGGCCGCUGGCAUUCCAGCGGCCAUGCCUGUCCGAGCGCCACUA
RNAcentral lists this ribosomal RNA (158 nucleotides) under Pseudocatenomycopsis rothmanniae. Its description in RNAcentral is "5.8S ribosomal RNA". It matches the Rfam family "5.8S ribosomal RNA". Rfam says of the family: 5.8S ribosomal RNA (5.8S rRNA) is a component of the large subunit of the eukaryotic ribosome. It is transcribed by RNA polymerase I as part of the 45S precursor that also contains 18S and 28S rRNA. Functionally, it is thought that 5.8S rRNA may be involved in ribosome translocation. Lineage: Eukaryota; Fungi; Ascomycota; Sordariomycetes; Coronophorales; Scortechiniaceae. The record is from RNAcentral.